RNAcentral lists this ribosomal RNA (497 nucleotides) under uncultured bacterium. Its description in RNAcentral is "partial 16S ribosomal RNA". It matches the Rfam family "Bacterial small subunit ribosomal RNA", at positions 28 to 507 of the family's 1533-position model. The record is from RNAcentral.
GAUGAACGCUGGCGGCGUGCCUAAUACAUGCAAGUCGAGCGAACAGAUGAGGAGCUUGCUCCUCUGACGUUAGCGGCGGACGGGUGAGUAACACGUGGAUAACCUACCUAUAAGACUGGGAUAACUUCGGGAAACCGGAGCUAAUACCGGAUAAUAUAUUGAACCGCAUGGUUCAAUAGUGAAAGACGGUUUUGCUGUCACUUAUAGAUGGAUCCGCGCAGCAUUAGCUAGUUGGUAAGGUAACGGCUUACCAAGGCAACGAUGCUUAGCCGACCUGAGAGGGUGAUCGGCUACACUGGAACUGAGACACGGUCCAGACUCCUACGGGAGGCAGCAGUAGGGAAUCUUCCGCGAUGGGCGAAAGCCUGACGGAGCAACGCCGCGUGAGUGAUGAAGGUCUUCGGAUCGUAAAACUCUGUUAUUAGGGAAGAACAAAUGUGUAAGUAACUGUGCACAUCUUGACGGUACCUAAUCAGAAAGCCACGGCUAACUACGUG